AAAAAUUCAUUCAUAACUUUACAAAAGGAAUUCCUUCAUUCAUUUACAAAAAUUCAUUCAUAACUUCACAAAAUUCCUUCUACACAGCUUCUGCAUUCCUUCUAUCACAGCUUUACAUAACUUCACAAAAAUUCCUUCAUAACUUCUGCAGCCUUCAAUCAAUUCCUUCAUUAAUUUCUGCAUUCACAAAAGGAUUCCUUCUUCAAAAUGUCUCCUUCUACUUCACAUAACUUCAGUUCUUUGAAUUUGAAGUUCAUGCACCAUCAUCUCA
Molecule: long non-coding RNA, 271 nt
Filed under: Salvia miltiorrhiza (redroot sage)
Lineage: Eukaryota; Viridiplantae; Streptophyta; Magnoliopsida; Lamiales; Lamiaceae
Description: long non-coding RNA (SMIL_LNC009989)
Source: RNAcentral